GGGGAGUGAUGAGGCGUUAUCGCUCGCAAUUAAAAUAUGCGAGAUGAGUGUCUGCCUAAAGCUUUACGACAAUCAGGCACCUCCAGUCUUAACCAUCUGAUCCC
This is a small nucleolar RNA of Lactuca sativa (garden lettuce), 104 nucleotides long. RefSeq annotates it as small nucleolar RNA Z279/snoR105/snoR108. The record is from RefSeq and is a predicted model, not a curated record. NCBI's taxonomy places the organism in Eukaryota, Viridiplantae, Streptophyta, Magnoliopsida, Asterales, Asteraceae.